UAGGUCUGGGGCUGUAUUGGUUCCCAAAGGCCGUUGUGCCGGCGGGAUCAAAAGGGAACACGGUGCGACGUACCCAUCAGGGCGCAAAUCCGUGGCUGCCCCCGCAACUGUAAGCGGUGCGCGCCCUCUCAUGCCACUGGCCAAGGCCGGGAAGGCGAGGGCGCUGUACUCACCGUGAGCCAGGAGACCUGCCGAUACACUUGCCGGGCU
RNAcentral lists this non-coding RNA (210 nucleotides) under Devosia epidermidihirudinis. Lineage: Bacteria; Pseudomonadati; Pseudomonadota; Alphaproteobacteria; Hyphomicrobiales; Devosiaceae. The record is from RNAcentral.